Molecule: unclassified non-coding RNA, 402 nt
Filed under: soil metagenome
Description: partial contains 5.8S ribosomal RNA, internal transcribed spacer 2, and large subunit ribosomal RNA
Rfam family: 5.8S ribosomal RNA (bases 1-121)
Source: RNAcentral
GAUGAAGAACGUAGCGAAAUGCGAUAAGUAAUGUGAAUUGCAGAAUUCAGUGAAUCAUCGAAUCUUUGAACGCACCUUGCGCCCUUUGGCUAUUCCGAAGGGCAUGCCUGUUUGAGUAUCAUGAACACCUCAACUCUCAUGGUUUGCCAUGAUGAGCUUGGACUCUGGGGGUCUUGCUGGCCUAUGGUCAGCUCCUCUCAAAUAAAUCAGCUUGCCAGUGUUUGGUGGCGUCACAGGUGUGAUAACUAUCUACGCUUGUGGUUUUCCAUCAGGUAACCUUCAGUGAUGGAGGUUCGCUGGAGCUCAUAAAUGUCCCUCCUCAGCGAGGACAGCUUUUUGAACAUUUGAUCUCAAAUCAGGUAGGACUACCCGCUGAACUUAAGCAUAUCAAUAAGCGGAGGA